AAAACUUUUAACAACGGAUCUCUUGGUUCUGGCAUCGAUGAAGAACGCAGCGAAAUGCGAUAAGUAAUGUGAAUUGCAGAAUUCAGUGAAUCAUCGAAUCUUUGAACGCACAUUGCGCCCGCUAGUAUUCUGGCGGGCAUGCCUGUUCGAGCGUCAUUUCAACCCUCAAGCACUGCUUGGUGUUGGGG
This 188-nucleotide ribosomal RNA is filed under the name Reticulascus tulasneorum. Its description in RNAcentral is "5.8S ribosomal RNA". The stretch from base 3 to 156 matches the Rfam family "5.8S ribosomal RNA". From Rfam's summary of the family: 5.8S ribosomal RNA (5.8S rRNA) is a component of the large subunit of the eukaryotic ribosome. It is transcribed by RNA polymerase I as part of the 45S precursor that also contains 18S and 28S rRNA. Functionally, it is thought that 5.8S rRNA may be involved in ribosome translocation. The record is from RNAcentral. Lineage: Eukaryota; Fungi; Ascomycota; Sordariomycetes; Glomerellales; Reticulascaceae.